GUGAAUUUGAGUGCUUCUAUACGAAGGCUCGACCUCCACUUCUAACACUGUGCAUUACAAUUUGGCUCGGUUUGACUUUUACUAGUCGGGCCAGCCUCAUUUAUCUUACAAACUUCAGUUAAAGAAUGUAACAAACCUAAAACAAAAAA
RNAcentral lists this unclassified non-coding RNA (149 nucleotides) under uncultured Sporidiobolales. RNAcentral's name for it is "sequence contains ITS1". Lineage: Eukaryota; Fungi; Basidiomycota; Microbotryomycetes; Sporidiobolales. The record is from RNAcentral.